CCUACGGGCGGCAGCAGUGAGGGAUAUUGCGCAAUGGGCGAAAGCCUGACGCAGCGACGCCGCGUGGGCGAGGAAGGCCUUCGGGUUGUAAAGCCCUUUUGGCAGGGAAGAGCAAGGACUGUACCUGCAGAACAAGUCACGGCUAACUACGUGCCAGCAGCCGCGGUAAUACGUAGGGAGCGAGCGUUGUUCGGAUUUACUGGGCGUAAAGCGCGCGUAGGCGGCCUGGUAAGUCGGGUGUGAAAGCCCUCGGCUUAACCGAGGAUCCGCGCUCGAAACUGCCAGGCUUGAGUCUAGGAGAGGAGAGCGGAAUUCCCAGUGUAGCGGUGAAAUGCGUAGAUAUUGGGAGGAACACCGGUGGCGAAGGCGGCUCUCUGGACUAGUACUGACGCUGAGGCGCGAAAGCUAGGGGAGCAAACGGGAUUAGAUACCCCUGUAGU
RNAcentral lists this ribosomal RNA (440 nucleotides) under uncultured bacterium. RNAcentral describes it as "partial 16S ribosomal RNA". It matches the Rfam family "Bacterial small subunit ribosomal RNA", at positions 338 to 794 of the family's 1533-position model. The record is from RNAcentral.